GUUUUUACCUUCCUCAGCUGGGCUGUCUUCCCUGUCCCCAGAUGCGCUGCACCGCGGAGGCACGCUGUGCUGUGCGGUGCGGUGCGGGCAGAGGAGGGGGCCCAGCCUCAGAAGCCCUUCUAUUGCAUUCCCUGGAACUGGGUUCGUGUGCAGUGUGUUUCCCAAACUGGUCGUCACCUCAAGGGUACAGGCAGUCCCUGCUUGGUCAAGGUGAAAGCCGGAUGCCACCUUGGCCGGAUGCCGAGGGCCAGCGGUUCCCCUCAACCCUUGACCUCCACCUUCCUGUACCCACUAUGCUUUUCCCUCCAUAAUUCGCUCCUUGGGUCCAGCAGAGCCAUUGUCUGGAUGCUCCAAAGCCCAAGGUGGUUUGGGGUGCAGGCGUCAAAUUAAGAGCAGAUGCAAGAAGAGCUGGGCGGAGGCCCCCUGGGUGUGUCCCGUGCACCGUCUCCUGUUCUUUGCCAAGUCCGCCCCGUGGUGUCCCGGGCUGUGGAGGGCCUGGUGGCUAUUAUUCCACUAGUGAUUUUUAGCAUGACCAACCGUUCUGGGGCAUUACAAAAUACAUUAAAAAAAAAAUAAAAUAAAAGUAAAGCUCGAUCUUUGAGGUUGCUACCUGGAAGGUUUUUGUCUGGGUUUGUACUUUGAUUUUUGAGCUUGACUUUUCUCAGUGCUGUAAAAGAGUUCUUAGGCUAGAUUAAUUUAGCAGUAGGAAGGUCUGGGCAGAAGAGUUAACGUGGGUACGUGUGGGCCCUCAACUGCCGUCUGCAACCCCGAGCUUCAGAGGUAAGAUGAAAGUCAGCCCCACCCAGAAUUCAGAAGUGGGCUACCCGCGAGCCGGAGCCAGCAGACUUGUUUGUGCAGCCUCAACAGAGCAUCACAACUGUGUUGAAUCGCUUGCCAACGUUUUAAAAAUCAGGAGUUUUGAUAGCAUUUCUUUAAGGUUCUGAAGAUUGGGUGCAUUCCUCAUGGGAACCACCGGCCGGGGUUGGUUGACAGCGCCCCCUAC
This 1003-nucleotide long non-coding RNA is filed under the name Marmota monax (woodchuck). Lineage: Eukaryota; Metazoa; Chordata; Mammalia; Rodentia; Sciuridae. The record is from RNAcentral.